This is a non-coding RNA of Lepisosteus oculatus (spotted gar), 866 nucleotides long. NCBI's taxonomy places the organism in Eukaryota, Metazoa, Chordata, Actinopteri, Semionotiformes, Lepisosteidae. The record is from RefSeq and is a predicted model, not a curated record.
UCCAGACUAACAGCCUCUUAGAGAAACGUCACUGUAUCAGGUUGUGGGAAAUUCCUGAGCCUUUACAUAUUUUAUGUAUGAUUUGGUGAGUUUAAGUUUCUAUUUGUCUUCAGCGAGGUCAGUGUUGAGCCCUUGUAACAGAAUCCACAGCCGUCAUUCAGGAGCCGAGCCCGUCUCCAGAGUGACCUUCCUCAGCGGACACGCCCCGUCCACCUGUUCCACAGGUGCGCCCGGCAAGAUGGCGGCGGGGCGACCUUCUGCGGCUUUAGGGCGCCGACUUUGCUGAUCUGUCCUUUUGAGCGUGCUCUCGAAGGUUUAAAAGUCUGCAUUAAGCGUUCUUAUACCUAUCUUUCAUUAAGUAAGUUUUUUUAAAGAUAUGGUAUCCCAUAUCAGUCAGUUUCCUUUAACGAAGAAAGACUGUACUUUACCGCCAAACAUGUCCUAUAUAAAGUUAAUAGCUGUGUAAUCUCUCCAUUUCGGGUUUGGGCUAUAAUAACCCUCUCCGCUCCGAAAUGAUAAAAUAUUGUAAAGAUUAAAUUUCCUAGUUCGUACGGUUUUUUUUUAUUUCUCCAGGUGACAAAAGUAUUUUAAGAAUGGGCCUCCAUUUAUGAAGAAGUUAUUUUUUCCGGGUUCAGCGGCUCUAUCCUCAGAGCUCAACCGAUCUCCUUUCCAGCAACGCGUCGUGCGAUGACAAGCUAUUCUUGACAAGGUGCUUUUCUUUCAAUUUCGGUUUCGACACCAUUGGCUUGAUCUGUAAUGUACCGAUGCAGUGAUGUAUCUUGCCCUUUAUUGCAGUAAAGUUCUGAACGUGCAUGGUUCGUGGUGACCGCUGCUAUGUGCUGUGCAUUCUGCAAUAAAAAUUGUUG